CUCAGCAGGGAGCAGCCAGACACUGGCGACAGGACGAGGCAGAGAAUCCCAGAGACGGAGAGGGAGAAGAAGCACCUGACAGAGGCACGUCUCAGCCAACACAUUCUGGUCUUGAGCUGCCUUGCUUCCCACCGUGAUACUAAUGGACUGGACCUCUGAACCUGAUUCACUCACUGACCUGGAAGGCUGCGGACAGAGGAGUCUACCACAGGCCGUGGCCCAAAUCCAUGCUCCAACUUG
This 240-nucleotide small RNA is filed under the name Rattus norvegicus (Norway rat). RNAcentral describes it as "uncharacterized LOC102548014". Lineage: Eukaryota; Metazoa; Chordata; Mammalia; Rodentia; Muridae. The record is from RNAcentral.